UACGGAGGGUGCAAGCGUUAUCCGGAUUUACUGGGCGUAAAGGGCGCGUAGGCGGCCAGCACAGGUCAGUUGGGAAAUCUCCGGGCUUAACUCGGAAAGGUCAACUGAUACUGUGCGGCUAGAGUGCAGAAGGGGCAACUGGAAUUCUCGGUGUAGCGGUGAAAUGCGUAGAUAUCGGGAGGAACACCAGCGGCGAAGGCGGGUUGCUGGGAUGACACUGACGCUGAUGCGCGAAAGCCAGGGGAGCGAACGGG
This 254-nucleotide ribosomal RNA is filed under the name uncultured bacterium. RNAcentral describes it as "partial 16S ribosomal RNA". It matches the Rfam family "Bacterial small subunit ribosomal RNA", at positions 524 to 776 of the family's 1533-position model. The record is from RNAcentral.